UUUCAAAUAUAUUCACUCGACGCUGAGGACAUCUCUGUUGGUAGGUGCUGUUAUUUCAUUUUUUUCAAGGGAAGAAAAUAAAAUUUGAAACAGUUUCCACUCAGAAUGCCACCCACUAACGAACGGUGGGGUCUGAAACCUGGGCUUCCGACUUGCUGAGCAGCGCUCUCCACCGUAAUACGGCUGCCUGCGGAACCGGCUGACCGGAAGUGUGGCUGUGGGUGGUUUACCGCCAGACUGUGAUGGUGGCGGGGCACGGCUGCGUGACUGCUCAACUCAGCUGUACUUCUCACCACGUGGCAAAGGAUGGACCAAAGGCUGGGAGCAACUGGGAGUGUCUGGGGUGAGAGCUGAAUGUAGGCUCCAACAGGAAGACGGCAUUGAAGCCUGGUUGCUUGUUACUACUCAGAAUGCCAUCUACAAAAGGAAAUUAUGUAAAAAGCAAUAAAGAACCCCUUUUGUUCUUGCAGGAGUCAGUGUUUCAUAACUCUUUCUGUGAUAUCGUCUGUAUAAGUUGAACCUCUAAAGAACCUUAUCUAAGUUGCCACGACCUUACUCAUUACCCUCAAGAAAGAUGAACAAUUUAAAGGGGGAAAAAAGGAAGUGAAAAAAAUGGCGGAUACGAGGCAGAACUAACCUGCAGCUUCCACUCGAAGGGACAGAGCAGAGUGUGGAGACCCACAACUGGAACUUUUUCUCCAAGAACUACCACAGGAACAUACCAAGAAAGCCAAGAGAAUCCACAGAACCUUUGGAGGAAGUGGUUUGUCACUGCAGGCUCUGUGGGACAGCUGAGGAACUGGUCACAAAGAAAAGGAAACAGGAAUUCUGACCUGACCUCCACAAAUGCUCAAAUGCCAUCACCUGCUAUUUUGACACCAAUUUGUCAAGUAGUUCUCAACCUAAAAGUGCAUCACAAUUGCCUGGGUUGCACUUUAUAAAGGAGAUUCAGAAUAGGUUUUGACUGAGCAAGUCUGGGGUAGGGCCUAGAAGUCUGCAAUUUUAGUAACAACCAGGAAUAGUGUUGAUGCAUGUGGUAUCUGAACUAGACUUUUGGAAACAUCAGCCCAGCACAGUGGUUCACAAACCUGAACAUGCAUGAGAACCACUUGACUGGCUUGUUAAAAACCCAGAUUACUGAGUCCAAUCUCCAGAGUUUCUCAUUCAGUAGGUCAGAGGUAGGGCCCAGGAAUUUGCAUUUCUAGCAAGUUCCCAGGUGAUCUUGCUGCUGCUGCUGACAGGGGCCAUGCUUUGAGAACCAAUGUCCUACUAAAACCCAGAAAGAAUGCCUCUUUAAAGCACUGUCGACUAAGAAGGUGGGAUACUCCUUGAGAAAAGAAAAAAGCAAAUGGACACUUACUGAGUAUCUGCUAGGAGAAGGUAACUGGAACAGUGAAAUCAUAUUUAUUUUCCUGGUCACUAUUUUUUUAAUGUUUUUUGCAAAUGAGAAAUCCAAAGGUUGGACCAGUUAUGUGACAUCUUUAAAGGUCACAUAGCCAACUAAAAUGUUUUAAACUAUUUUUUUCUUUGAGUUUUUGUAGUUGUACAUGCAGCAAUUUCAGGUAGCUUUUUGCCCAGUGAGGUUGCUUUUUAUUGCUUCCCAACUCAGCGUAGACUUACCUAGUUUUGCCCUGUGGAAGGAAAAUGGCAUUCCUGCCACACAUUCUGUCUGAUAGAGGAACAUCUCUUCUGGAAAGAUGGCUGGAUUUCCUCGCUUACAUUUACCAUUGCAGGGGCCAAGAAGUUUAUCCAGAAGGAGAAACCAUCAUACAAUUAGCAAGUCAAGUCAUAAGGCACUGAUUUCAUUUGUUUAUUUAUUUAUUCAUUUAUUAGUUCAGUUAAAUAUUUACUGAGAACAACUGUAUUUGCUGGGUAUUGUGCAAGGCACUAAUAAUAACAGAAAGACUCCUGGAGUGAAGCCAGGAAAUCAGAACUGUGUGCUGUCUUCUCCAUGUGCAAGCUUUGCUCCUGGGUAAGUCCCUUCAGCUUUUGGGGUGUCAAUCAUCUCCCUAUUAGCAAAUGCAGGGAGGGAGAUGAGCCUUGGUGAUUUCCAAGGCUCCUUUAUUUUUGUACACUCCUGAGUUUAUAGUUCAACUCUCACAAUGUACCUAACCUUUGUGCUGUGGAGUGAGUGUGUGGAAGGAAAGCUUGGGGGAUGUAGAAAGAACAAGAGGCAGAAGGAAGAGUCCUUGUCUUUGGAAACAGAGAAGAUCAAAAUAUGCACAUAUGACAUCACUGGAGAAACUUACAAUUCAGCAUCUAACCCCAAAGGAGCUCAGGUAGUACAGCUUCUUAUGGGAGGAGCGGUCAAGGAUGGGGGAAUAUAAAUGAGGGAGUGAGGAAUGGUGAGGGGUGGACUAAAGGAAUGGAGAGAGGAGUGAAUUCAGCAAAUGUGACCUCAGAAGCAGAAACUUUUCUGAUUUCACUCCCCUUCACAGGCCAGCGUCCUCUUUCCUGUGUUGGUCACAUCCUCAAAUGCCUUUGGGGCUGGAUGAACAGUCGGCUUGUGGGUUUUCAUGGUGAUUUCAACUAAUAUGUGGAAGGGAAGGAGGGGAAGAGGAAAGACUCGGUGAUGGCUACAGCAGGCAAACCAUAUGCCACCGCAUGGGCCUGAGGACAAUCUCGGACGUCUUGCAAACAAUCACCCACACAAGUGUCCUGAUGAGUGGCGACCUUCUCAGCGAGGACUGACAACCACACGGGUUCCUACUUCAUGACCAGACCAGGGUCACCAUGGAGACAUUUCUCAUUGGAUCAGCUUAUUAUGCCAUAGGAAACAUCUGAUUGAAAUGGAACUCACUGACCUAAAGCUCCUAAAAAAAAAUUUUCUAGGUCAGUGACAGACAAGUUGGCUGCUUCAAAAAAGGUCCUGAAAACUCAAGACAAUGGAACAAUGCCAAGCAGUAAGAUAUGGAUACAAUGAGUAAAAUCUAAAGAUUGGUUCCUUUAAGACAAAGGGAUCAACAUGUAAUAACUUGGAAAUAUAUAGCAAAGAGAGAGCCAAAGACGUCUUCUAGCCCUGCACUUUGCCUCCUACUAGAACCAGUGGGAAGAUGCUCCAGGAAGUUAGCAGAGUCAGUUACAGUUAACUGCAGCUCAGUGUAAGGAAGAAACUCAACAGUGGAGUCAUUUUGAGAGGGAAUAGGUUAUUCUGAAAAGUAGGGAGUUUCCCUUCCCUAUGGGAGUUGAAUCCAAGGUUGGAUCUUUUUUUUUUUUUUUUUUUUUUGAGAUGUGGUUUUCCUAUGUUGCCCAGGCUGGAGUGUACUGGCUAUUCACAGGCAUAAUCACAGCAUAGCACACCCUUGAACUCCUGGGCUCAAGGAUCCUCCCACCUCAGCAUCCUGAGUAGGUGGGACUACAGGUACACGCCACUGCACCUGGCCUGGAUGAUCAUUAUUAAUGAAUGUUUUGUAGAAGGGAUAUAAACAUGAGAUUGGUAGAUGAUCUGAAUGACUUUUAUGUUUGAGAGUAUUUUAUUCCAUACUCACUGUAGCCUUAUGUUCCCAAUUUUAAAUACAUAUAUAUAUACACACAUAUAUAUACACACACAGUUAUAUAUGCUAAUAUGUUACUUAUGACUAAAUAGUAUUUAUUUUUUAUGUUUCUCUAAUAUCAUUUAUAUUAAGAAAUUAAUUAAUCAAAAAAUCAAUCUUUUGUCAGACCAAAAGCUUGAAAACAAAAUAUGGCCUGUAUAACUAUAUUUCAUGGAAAAAAUAAUAAUCCAAACCAUUUCUCAGUGGCGUUUGUUCCUGGUUCCUUUUCCAGUACAUUCAUUCACUCAUGAAAAAUCAUUUUUGGGCUCAAAUGGUAGAGAAAACAAAGCCAAAAUUCUGAGCAGCAGUCCCAACCCUAGGAAGCUGUGUGGUUAUAUUAUCUAACAUCUAAAGGGCUAUUUAACCAUUCUAGGACUUGGUUUUGUCAUUUGUAAAAGGAGUGAAAUAACAGAAGCUGCCUUACAGGAUCGUUGUAAAGAUUAAUGUGUGAAUAUACGUGAGCCACUUAGAACAAUGGCUGGUACAUAGUAAGUACUAUUUGAGUGAUAGCUUUCAUUAUCAUCAUCAUUCAACAACAAUAUUGUUAUUCCAGGCUUGGGGAGCAUAAACACGAAUAGGACAGGACCUCUUUUUCUCUAAAGAUGCAUAGUCCGGCUAGAGAAAGCAUGUAGGUAAACAGUGCAGGAAGGGGAGAGAAUCACUGUAAUGGGGAAAUGUGCUAGCAACUCCAAAUGGGAGAUUGCAGAGAAGGCUGUCAGAGAAAUAGGCUGUUGAGCUGGGUUUUGAUGACUGACAAGGCAUUUUCCAGGUAGAGGAGGGAAAAGUGAUCUGGGCUGAAGGAUGUCACUUUGUGUUUAGCAAUCCUGAGGUUGCCUUAAAUCAGCCUCAAUCACUUCUGUUGAGUAGAAGCCUAUGCUUUCUGUCCUGCCCUGGUUCUUGGCUGCAGGUCACAAAACAUUUCAGUCCAUUCAAGAAUCCUUGAGAGCUCUCCUGGGGACCUCCUGGGCAAUGCAGAGGUCAGACAGCAGAGCCACAUUCUCAGGGAGAGUGGCACAGUCAAGGGAGAAGACAGGUGAAGAGAAUGUUUUCCUGUGAAGGUGGUGAGCUGAUUGCCUUAGAGAGCGUGAGCUCCUGCCUUAGAGAGCAGGUGAACUCUCUCCAAGAAAGCAAAUGGAAACAAGCAAGCAAAACACGUUUCUUUCUCUUGUGUCUACACCCCCAGCCCCCACCACCCAUGAGUAAAGUGUCUUAUCUAGGUCUUACAAUCAGCCUUCCUAUCCAAUAUUCAGAUUUAUCUGAACAUGAGACCCAACGGUAACUCUUGUCCCCCACGGCUCACGUGAUGUAAAGGCUUACCUGGAGGAUCUCGCCUAUUCAUAGCAUCUUUGUCUCCAUGUCCUUAUCAUCAUGUCCUCUUUCGGGAAGCAAAAGAAAAGACCUUUUGCUCAUUUCACUUACUUGAGGAGACUGUUUCAAAUUGCUAUUUCUAUAUGGCAAAUUUUACCUCCACCCUGACUUAACUAGGUGAGGGUAGAAAAUGAGACCUGUGGAACAGAGGAAAAGCGAAUGCAAGGGGAUGAGCGGCAGCAGCAAGAACAUCCUGGACCAUUGGGGUGAGAUCAAUGAAACCCACACUGGAGCCCAGGCCCUGAUGUCCCCUGAGCUCCUCCUCCACAGCCUGUCAACUCCUGUGUCUCUGCAGUCCUAAAUAAACAAGAAGCAGCAGGUAAUUUUAUUUCCAAUCCAUGUUCACAAGAGGCUUCCUUUACUGGCAUCUUGCUGACAGGACCUUGCCUUACAAUGUGGAGUCACUUUUGCCCAGUUUAGCUCAGACAACUUCCUAGCAGGGAAGUAGGGAGUGGAUGGCUGGCUGGAGGUCUGGAAGGGGGACACACAUGGAAGGGGGUUGUUGUUUCUAUUAAAAAUGGACAGUGCCGCAGCUGUGGUCUGGCCUCCUACUCUCUCUCAAGCUGUAAUCCAAGGGUUGUCCAGUGCCACGGGUUGGCUAUUGAAAACCUAAGUUGUUGAAUCACCUUUGAAAACAGACUCAAAUUCAGACUGAUCAGCCCAGAGCAGAAUUCUGUUGGGCAUGUUCCCCAGGCAAAACUGUUGAGUAGAGAUGUAAAAAAAAAAAAUUCUAGAAACUGAAACAUCAUGAGAGCCACUUUACAGCAAAUCUAAUUACUUCCCAUUGUUUACAAUCACUGUCACAAAUGAUUAUCAUUUGUUAAAUAUUUGCUGAAUUCACUUCUCACUUCUCUCUUAGGAGUUGAUUUGGGUUUAGUCAUGGAUGGCUCCCUACUCUCUCUUCGUAUUGAAGCUCAUUUUAUCCAAGAUGUUAUACAGAUGAGGGACUUACUGCUAACCUUGUUCUCAGGGAAGCUCCAAACUAAAGAAUCAAAAAAUAUGAUAAACUUGGGCCAAAAAUCCCAUCCACAGUUAUGGGAAUACCAUGACUGGGCAUAUGAGACACCUGAUUUUCAGCCUAAGGAAGCACCAUCGGCGAGACAUACAGUAUCACAAUCUGGCUAUAUUUUAUGCUCCCUUUCCAUCAGUCUGGGAUAAAUUGUGUGUGUCAAGUUCGGCAAGCAUGGGUGAGCUAAAUGGAGCUGUUAGCUGUCUUUUCAACAUAUUUAUCUGUUUCAUUGCCUACUCUAGGAUGUCUUUGUGAUCAUUAUAUAGGGAUCACAGAUAAUAGACUAUUUGAAAUCUUACUUCAAUUAAAACUUAAUCCUCAGAUGUCAAUAACAGUGUUUUAUACAUAAGGUUACAAUAAAAACAAUGUCUUUUGUGCAUAUCAUUAAAACAACAACAGAAAAUCAAGAAUAAGAAAUGGCCUGAACAUUUUCUAAAACAAGAUGCUCUACUAUGUCGUGUACCUUGUCACUGUGAUAAAAUUAUGGUUAUUUCAAUAUCUAUGCAACUUGACAAAGUCACACAGGAUUUAUAAGAAAAAAAAUC
RNAcentral lists this long non-coding RNA (6455 nucleotides) under Homo sapiens (human). Its description in RNAcentral is "HSALNT0032943". The record is from RNAcentral. Lineage: Eukaryota; Metazoa; Chordata; Mammalia; Primates; Hominidae.